RNAcentral lists this ribosomal RNA (122 nucleotides) under Purpureocillium lilacinum. RNAcentral's name for it is "5.8S ribosomal RNA". The stretch from base 65 to 122 matches the Rfam family "5.8S ribosomal RNA", at positions 1 to 58 of the family's 154-position model. Lineage: Eukaryota; Fungi; Ascomycota; Sordariomycetes; Hypocreales; Ophiocordycipitaceae. The record is from RNAcentral.
UUUUGCAUUACGCCCAACGGCGGGAAUUUUUUCUCUGAGUGCAUAAGCAAAACAAAUGAAUCAAAACUUUCAACAACGGAUCUCUUGGUUCUGGCAUCGAUGAAGAACGCAGCGAAAUGCGA